CUCCACAUGCCGCGGGAGCGGCCCAAGAAAUGGCAAAAAGACAAAAAGACAAAAAAAAAAAAAAAAAAGGAAAGAAGUUUAAAAAAAAGUCAUCAGUCUUGAACUUUAUUUUGACAUCAGGGGGUAAGUUCAUUAACUCAUGCACAUAUUCCUUUAACAGAUAUAUUUGAGGUGCUCAUUAUGUACCAGAAACUGGGCUAAGACAGUUAUGGUCCCCAUCAUUAUGGAGGGUGGAACAUUUGGUUAGAGAAACAAUAAGUAAAUGAAUGAGUGGUUAGAAAGUGAGGUAAGUUGUCUGGAGGAAAUAAAUAGCAAUUUGUGAUAGAGAAUGGGUGGUAUUAGGGGUCUUCUAGAAUGUGGGAGUCCAGGGAACUCUCUCUGAGGGCUUGACAUUGUAGCAAACACUAGAGGUUGUCUCUUAUUAGGUUCCCCAGAAGCAGAGCCUGAGAUUUAUUAGUAAAAUUUCCUGAGAGGCCAGGGACUAGGGUGGGGGCCUAGAGCACAUCAUUUAAGGAGGUGCUCAUUGUCAGAUUUGUGCAAGGGCAGUAUCAGCACCUGAGAGGGAGCAUCCCCUUAAAUUUUGCAUCCUGCAUGCCAUUUGCACCUCACCCUGAUUGUGGCAAGCAUGAAAAGUCUAAAAGAGGUAAACAAGUGUAUAAGAGCCUCUAUUUGUAAGGCUUUUGUACACUUGUUUACCUUUUUAUAAGCCUCUACUUGAUCUGUAAGCCUCAAUUCAUAAGCCUCUACUCCCAGCCUGUGAUAGUUGUUAUUAGUUUCCUGAGAGUCUUAUCCAUAUCAAAUUUUAUGCAUGACAACUAUAAAACAUUGCUGAAAAAAUUAAAGAUGAUGCAAAUAGGUGGAAUGACAUCUUGUGCUUACAAACAUAAAGCCUUGUGUUUACAAAUAUAAAGUUGUUAAAAUGUUCAUACUACUCAAAGCAAUCUACAGAGUCAAUACAAUCCCUAUCAAAAUCCCAAAGAUUUUUUUUUUUUCAGAAAUAGAAAAAUCUACCCUAAAAGUUACAUAGACUCUUGAGGGACUCAGAAUAGCCAAAAUUAUCUUGAAAAUUAAGAACAAAGUUGGAAGUCUCACAUUCUUGACUUCAGAACUUACCACAGAGCUACAAUAAUCAAAACAGUGUGGUAUUGCCAUAAAGACUGACACAUAGUCCAAUGGAAUAGAAUAAAGAGCCCAGAAAUAAACUGCCUAUAUGGGAAAAUAAUAUUUGACAAGAGUGCCAAGACCAUCAAUGGGGAAAGUGCAGUCUUUUCAACAGACAGUGAUGGGAAAACUGGAUCUCCACAGGCAAAAGAAUAAAGUUGGACCCUUAUCUUGCACUAUACACCAAAAAUUAGCUGAAAAUGGACCAAAGUCCUACAUAUAUGAUCUAUGUCUAUAAAACUCUUGGAAAAAAAUAUUUGGGGAAAUCUUCGCAACAAUGAUCUUUUUAGAUAUGAUACCUAAAACACAGUGAACAAGAAAAAAUAGGCAAAUAGGACUUCAACAAAUUUAAAAACUUUUGUGCAUCAAAGGACACUGUCACCAGAGUAAAAAGGCAGUUCAACGAAUGGGAGAAAAUAUUUGCAAAUUUAGGGGUUGAUAUCUAGAAUAUAUAAAGAACUCCUACAACUCAGUAACCAACAAACCUCAAACAAUCUAACUAAAAAAUGAGCAAAAAGGUGUUCCAUUGUGGCUCAGUGGUAACAAAUGUCACUAGUAUCCAUAAAGAACUCCUACAACUCAGUAACCAACAAACCUCAAACAAUCUAACUAAAAAAUGAGCAAAAAGGUGUUCCAUUGUGGCUCAGUGGUAACAAAUGUCACUAUAUCCAUGAGGUUUGAUGAAUUCCUGGCUCAUCUCAAUGGAUUAAGGAUCUAGCAUUGUCAAGAGCUGUGAUGCCUGUCAUAGACACAACGUGGAUCUAGCCUCAGAUCUGGUUGCUGUGGCUGUGGCAUAGGCUGGCAGUUGCAGCUCCAAUUCAACCCCUAGCCUGGGAACUUCCUAACAUGGGAACUCCUAUAUGCUGGGAACUUUGAUAAGGUGCAGCCUUAUUAAAAAAAAAGAGCAGUCUUGAAUAAAUAUUUCUCCAAAGAAGAUAAAUAGAUAUCCAAUAAGCACACAUAUGCUCAACAUUCCUAAUCACUGCGAAGGACAAAAUCAAAAAUGAAAUAUCAUUUCACAACCACUAGGUGUCUAUUAUUUAAAAAAAAAUUCAGAAAAUAGCAAGUGUUGAUGAGAAUGUGGAGAAAUUGGAACACUUGGGCAUUGCUGGUAAGAAUAUAAAACGGUGCAACUGCUGUGGAAAAUAGUUUGGCAUUUCCUCAAAAAAAGCCUAGAAUUACAUAGAAUAAGCAUAGAAUGAUCUAGCAAUUCUACUCCUGGGUACAUACCCCAAAGAACUGAAACAGGGACUCAGAUAUUUGUAUACCAACAUUCAAAACAGCAUUAUUCACAAUAGUCAAAAAGUAGAAACAACCAAAUGCCCAUUAAUGGAUGAAUAGACAAAAUGUAGUAAACCAUACAACAGAAUAUUACUCAGCCCUAAAAAGGAAGGGAAUUGUGACACCUGCUACAGCAUGGAUCAAGCUUGAAGACAUUAUGCUAAGUGACAAGUCGCAAGGACAAAUAUUCUAUGAUUCCCCUUAUAUUAGUUAUCUAGAUUAGUCAAACUCAUAGGAGUGGAAAGUAAAAGAGUGGUUGCCAGGGGCUGUGGUGGGGAUGGAAGAAUGGAGAGUUAUGAAAUCUUCCCAUACCUCCAGGUAGCACUCAGGUCACUCUUGGGUAACAGAAUGAGAACUGGAUUUCAAGCCGGGGAUGUGAAAAUUCCCUCCUGUCCUGGGCUGGCCCGCCCCACCUCCCACCCAUGACAAUGCCACCCAGCUUCUGAAGGGCUCUGGAACAGGAACAUUUUUCUGAAAAGUUACCUUUGUCUGUUCUAGAAAACAUAGCUAUUGUCCAGUGGACACAGCUGGGUGUGUCUUGAGUGAGGGUGUGUAGUGAGGGUAUUGCUCUGGUGGUCCCUGGGGCAGAGCCUCAGAAAAGAAUUGUGUCUGGGGCAUUCAUCCACCUGGGGGAAGAUGAGACCAAGAGUGAGAACAAGCUGGGUGGUAUGAUGACUGAAAAGGGGAGAAAGGCAUGAGAACAGAGAAGCAGCAGAAUUGGGGAAAGAAGAGGAAUGUCCAUAUCAGACAUAAUCAUGGCUCUUCCCUGUUCCCUUCCUGCCCCCACACAGCCUGUCCCAGGCCCAUGGCUUUACAUCUGAUGGAGUCAGUGUGGAGCAUGUGGAUGCCGUCUUAGCAGAGGGGGUGAAUGGGUUCAUCUUUAAAGACAAAGACAGAGUUCCCAUUGUGGCUCAGUAGGUUACAAACCCAACUAGAAUCCAUGAGAAUGUGGCUUUCAUCCCUGGCUUCUCUCAGUGGGUUAAGGAUCCAGCGUUGCCGUGAGCUGUGGUGUAGGUCGCAGUCAAGGCUUGGAUUUGGUGUUGCUGUGGCUGUGGUGCAAGCUGGCAGCUGCAGCUCUGAGUCAAACCUUAGCCUGGGAACUUCCAUGUGUCGCAUGUGUGCAGCCCUAAGGGGGAAAAAAAAGACAAAGGCAAUGUCUAUACAGAUAGUGUCAGAUGCACCAUUUCCCUUUGGGGUAUCCCAUCCUGAUGCCUCCUCCCAGCCAUGUCUGUUCACAAUGUAAUAGAUCAUGUGCUCAGUGUAAUGAGUUUGUUCAUCAGGACUGAGAUGUCUACUUGUGAUGUUCAUGCACUUAGAGGAGACAUGGCAGGUUUCCUCCAGAAGCCCUCCCCAGACCGGACCAGGGCAAGAGCCUUACCCCUUGUGCUGAGUGUUCAGUGAACUUGGGCUCACCUUGGAUCCCUAGUCAGACCACUGAACUCAACAGAAUUAGAGCACCCAGUGGUUCCUCAUUCUUAUACACAGCCACGUUGUCUGAGAUCAAGGAUUGUAGGGCUGAGUUGGUGGAUCAUUGCAAGGAAGAUACUGAGAUGUUUGGAGUCCGCAAAGGAAGAGGCAAAAGUAGCAUGUGAGUCUCUGAGGAUGGUGUUGAGAUAGUGUUGAGAAAAAAGCCACUGAAGCUACCCUGUUUCUUUACUCCUAUACAGGUGUAGAGUUCAGGGCAGUGUGGCUUCUCCUGGCUCCCUCUGACUCCUAUCUCACCUAGCUUUUGGAUUCAUGAGCCUAGAAAAGCAAACUUUAGCUUUCAGCCUGGCAAGGCUAGAGACAAAGCAAAGCCUACUGUCUGGGAAAAUUCAGUUCACACCCAAUAAUCUGACAAUACUAAAAAUCCAUAAUGUUAUUUUAAAAAAUUUUACAAGUUUUAUUGAAGUAGAGUUGAUUUACAAUGUUGUGAUAAUUUCUGCUGUACAGCAAAUUGAUUCAAUUAUACAUAAUGCACACAUCUACCCACGGCACCUGGCUGGAGAUGGAACCAGAACCUCCACAGUGACUUGAGCUUCUGCAGUAGGAUUCUUAACUCAUUGUGCAACAGCAGGAACUCCUUGAGUUAUUUCUAAUUGUCAGAUUAAAAAAUAUUGCAUGGGGUGUACUUAUACCUUUCUAUUUUAUCUGAAAUAAAGUGUACCUAACUUUCAUCCUUCUUUUGUUAAUUAUAUUUCUCUGGUGAUUUGACUUUCCAUAAAAGUUCUUUGUUUUGCAGAUUUAUUUGCUUAUAAUUUCUUUUUUCUUUUAUUACGAAUUACCUAUAAUUUUUUUCUUCUUGUUUUCAGUAUGUGCUGGACAAGUUUAUUUUCAAAAUGGAAGUAGCUUUAUUAUCUUUGCCAAUAAUAAAUAAGAUAAUAAAAGUUAUAGCUGCACUACAUAAAAAUUCAGAUUUUCAUAAAAAAGAUAAAUAAAUAAAAAAUCAAUCAUAGCUGCACCACUCAGAAAGUAAAUAUUUUUCUUAAUAAUAAUAAUUUAUUAAUGUUUCAAUGAUAUUUUCAUAAAGUUUAUGAAAAUUAUAUUUAAUCAAACCAUUCUUCAUUGUGGCAAAAUAUACAUACCAUAAAAACAACCAUUUUAGCCAUUUUUGAGUGUAAAACUUAGGGGCAUUAAGUAUAUUAGCAUUACAGUGCAAACAUGUUGUUUUUCCUCUGAUUUGUUUCACUUACAUCAUAGCUUCUCAUGUAAAAAAUAAAGGCAUGAUUCUUUAAAACUCCCUAGGGUAGAAUUGUUGGGUUAGCCUAUUGAUGGACAUUUGGGUUUUUUAAAUGAUUUUAGCUGUUAAAAACCAUGUUGUGAUGAACAUUCUUAUGUUAUUACUUGUACAUUUUUGCAGACCUGUCUAUUUACUUUUGGAUGAACCCCCAGAGGGUGAAUGGCUGGAAUGAACAGUAAUCACAUUUAUAACGCAUUUGACACAUGCUAUCAGAUUGGCUUCCAGAAAUGCCACACCAAUUACCAGCAGGAAAUGAGAGUAUAGGACAAUAUUUUAUUCAUUUUUGUGUGUGCAUUUGAAUUUUUUUUUGAGUAAAUGUUAUUAAACUGUUAUCUAUUAUAUCUUUGUUUUGCAAAGAUAUCACUGGUUUGUUUUCUGAUUUUUACAUUUGGUUUUCUCUACUUUUAAACACUUACCUGUCUAGGAUUUUUUUUUUUUAUGUACAAUUUGAGAAAAUUAGCCAAAUUGAUCCCCCCACACGUAUUGCUAAGGAUUGUUACAAAACUUAAUACUCUCUCUCCCCCAGUUGAUGCCUAUUUUAUCACAUUUUAUUGAAAAAAUGACCCUACUUUCACUAUUAGUAUGUAAUAACACAAAGCAGGGUGUUUAGUAUUCUUAUUUUGUCCAAAUGCCAGAAAUUUCAAAUCGUUAACAUUUAUUGUAUUAUCCACUUCUAUUUUAUUAUGUUCCAAGGAUACAAUUAUUCCUCUCAGAGAACAGCCUGAUUUUAUCAUGGAUCUUGAUAGUAAUACAGGAUUUGCUUCAGUUAACCCUUAGCACAAUUCCUUAGAGUACUCCUGCCUGAGUAAGCGAUGUGAGACACGGUGGUCUAAGGGUGUAGAGAACUUAAAAUUUGGAUGCAUGUAGUCAUGGCUUUUGUGUAUUUAACACAGCUCUUGAAUAAACAGUUACAUUAUGUCUACUAAUCAGUAGUAUUACUAAUAAGCAAUGACAAUAUAGCAACCUUUCCACUAAAUUGUAUAGUCUGUUUGAAUGUAACAAGGAAGAACAAAUCUGACUCCCUAUUGGAUCUGUUGUUGUUGUUGUUGUUUUUACUUUAAACUUUGUAUUCUACUGCUUUUGCUACAAGUAUUCUUAAUUUAGUUGCCUAUAGCCUGAAAUAUACAGGAUAGCCCAUUCUCCAGGCUCUGGCCUUGAAGGAUAUAACAGUUUUUCAUUCAUACAGAGAUUAAAAAGUUUCAGAACAGAGAAUAACACUUGUCUUAUUGGAGGUUUACAGGAACAUAGUAAACAUGAUCUGACCUUACAGGACAGCUGCAAGAACAAAGGAUUACAACACCAAGAAGUUUGCAACAACCAACCAUACCCCUUUCCCUUUCAGUAUAAAAGAACCCUGAAUUCUAAUUCAGGUAAGAUUGUUUUUUGGGACACUAGUUUGCCAUUGUCUUGGUCUGCUGGUUUUCCUAAUAAAGUCACUAAUCCUUGCCC
RNAcentral lists this long non-coding RNA (6610 nucleotides) under Sus scrofa (pig). Its description in RNAcentral is "lncRNA (ENSSSCG00015075127.1)". The record is from RNAcentral. Lineage: Eukaryota; Metazoa; Chordata; Mammalia; Artiodactyla; Suidae.